GGAGCUUUACACAGCUUUGUGGAAGCACAAAAAACAAAAUUUAACAAAACUUACAAAUCCAGCUUUUUCCUGCAGCUCAGUAAUCGUGUAUAAAUUAUACAUUUGUUCCUCAUCCCUGCGCAACUCAUUCGGAAUGAGUCAACCCGGACUGAUCAACCUGCAGGACAUGCCUGGAUGAAUUCCUGUCAUCCUCUCCUACAGCAUAAGAAAACAAUCCGUCGAUAUUAUAUCUGUUCUGGAUCACUUGCAGCGUCAUUUGGAAGUCAAACUCGGUGAUAUCAUAAUCCUUCGUGGUGACAUUCCAUCCGCCAAGUCCCAGUAGAAGAUCAAGCAUUGGUUGUGACCCUAAGGCCUCCACAGUCUCAUUAACAUCCAGACAGGAUUCAUAGUAGAGUUUUGCCUUUUGUUCCGCUUUGGAUUUGAGUGUUUCGAUGGGUUUCUCGAGGACACGCUUGAUGACCAUUUGAUUCUGUUGUUCUAGCUUCAUGAAUGUCGACCAGGUGGUUUUGCCAUCCGGGAUUGGAUUGGCUUUCAACCAGCCGUUGCAGGCAUACGCAUAGAAAUCAUCGCAUGGGUUGAUUGAUGAGUCCAUGGAUGCUAAAAUGUCGCUGGAGAUGUGGAUGCAGGUGGCGUUUAAACAUGGCGGACCCAAAUCGGAUUCAACGCGGUUUGGUGUUGUUGGGACUUGAUUCGACUGGUUGUCGAGUUUGUUUUGCUGGAAAUUAUGUUGGAUAUUAAUUAAUUGGGAGGUGAUUAGAUGAUUUUGUGUUGUGGUACCUUUUCUUUGAGGUUAUUCAAGCGGAUAUCGCGUAAAUGGCGAUCGGCUGAACUUAGAAGGAAAGCCAGGACCAUAACGACGAAUAGAAGCGUGCCAACCAGUAACAGAAGGGCUUUCUCAAGCAUGGAACGACGUUUCCACAUGCUGGUACCUGUGUGGUAUCUUAUAUGUGUUGCACUUGAACUUAUUCCUGAAAUAAACACGAAAAACUUAGAAAUUUAAAAAUUAAACGAAAAUUUUAACGAAAAAAACUUUAACCUUAAAUUAAACCUAGUAAAUAUUAAUGUUAUGCAACUUGUUAUACAUCAAAUGAAAGAUAAUUUAAUUGGCUAUAAAAUUAAAUUUGUUUAAUUUAAAAAAAUUAAUUAGUUUAAAAGUUAUAACAAAAUUAAUAUUCAAUUACAAGUUUUGAGGUUAAAUUAUAAUUUUCAAUUUCAAAACUUUAUAUCUCCGCGAAUAUUUGAUAUAUUUAAAUGGAAUAACAAACAAUCAACGUGCAA
This is a long non-coding RNA of Dalotia coriaria, 1278 nucleotides long. RefSeq lists it as uncharacterized. The transcript is spliced from 2 exons. The record is from RefSeq and is a predicted model, not a curated record. Lineage: Eukaryota; Metazoa; Arthropoda; Insecta; Coleoptera; Staphylinidae.